RNAcentral lists this ribosomal RNA (460 nucleotides) under uncultured bacterium. Its description in RNAcentral is "partial 16S ribosomal RNA". It matches the Rfam family "Bacterial small subunit ribosomal RNA", at positions 338 to 795 of the family's 1533-position model. The record is from RNAcentral.
CCUACGGGGGGCAGCAGUGAGGAAUAUUGGUCAAUGGACGAGAGUCUGAACCAGCCAAGUAGCGUGAAGGAUGACUGCCCUAUGGGUUGUAAACUUCUUUUAUAUGGGAAUAAAACGUUCCACGUGUGGGAUUUUGUAUGUACCUUAUGAAUAAGGAUCGGCUAACUCCGUGCCAGCAGCCGCGGUAAUACGGAGGAUCCGAGCGUUAUCCGGAUUUAUUGGGUUUAAAGGGAGCGUAGGUGGAUUGUUAAGUCAGUUGUGAAAGUUUGCGGCUCAACCGUAAAAUUGCAGUUGAAACUGGCAGUCUUGAGUACAGUAGAGGUGGGCGGAAUUCGUGGUGUAGCGGUGAAAUGCUUAGAUAUCACGAAGAACUCCGAUUGCGAAGGCAGUUCACUGGACUGCAACUGACACUGAGGCUCGAAAGUGUGGGUAUCAAACAGGAUUAGAUACCCUUGUAGUC